UCUCUCGUAGCUUAGUGGUAAGAGCAUUGGUGCGUCCCGGGUUCAAUUCCCGGCGGGUGGU
This 61-nucleotide transfer RNA is filed under the name Agrilus planipennis (emerald ash borer). It matches the Rfam family "tRNA". Rfam says of the family: Transfer RNA (tRNA) molecules are approximately 80 nucleotides in length. Their secondary structure includes four short double-helical elements and three loops (D, anti-codon, and T loops). The record is from Rfam by way of RNAcentral. Lineage: Eukaryota; Metazoa; Arthropoda; Insecta; Coleoptera; Buprestidae.